This 253-nucleotide ribosomal RNA is filed under the name uncultured bacterium. Its description in RNAcentral is "partial 16S ribosomal RNA". It matches the Rfam family "Bacterial small subunit ribosomal RNA", at positions 524 to 776 of the family's 1533-position model. The record is from RNAcentral.
UACGAAGGGUGCAAGCGUUACUCGGAAUUACUGGGCGUAAAGCGUGCGUAGGUGGUUUGUUAAGUCUGUUGUGAAAGCCCCGGGCUCAACCUGGGAAUGGCAAUGGAUACUGGCAGGCUAGAGUGCGGUAGAGGGUAGUGGAAUUCCCGGUGUAGCGGUGAAAUGCGUAGAGAUCGGGAGGAACACCAGUGGCGAAGGCGGCUACCUGGACCAGCACUGACACUGAGGCACGAAAGCGUAGGGAGCAAACAGG